CGGGUGAGUAACGCGUAAANAACUUGCCCUUUAGACUGGGAUAACAGAGGGAAACUUCUGAUAAUACUGGAUAAGUUAGUAUAUCGCAUGAUAUGCAAAUGAAAGCUACGGCACUAAAGGAGAGCUUUGCGUCCUAUUAGCUAGUUGGUAAGGUAAGAGCUUACCAAGGCGACGAUCAGUAGCCGGCUUGAGAGAGUGUACGGCCACAUUGGGACUGAGACACGGCCCAGACUCCUACGGGAGGCAGCAGCC
RNAcentral lists this ribosomal RNA (252 nucleotides) under uncultured bacterium. Its description in RNAcentral is "partial 16S ribosomal RNA". It matches the Rfam family "Bacterial small subunit ribosomal RNA", at positions 103 to 355 of the family's 1533-position model. The record is from RNAcentral.